AUAGUACUCCCUCUCUCCCAAAAAACUUGUUCCAAGUUUGUCCCUCAAAUGGAUGUAUCUAGCACAAACUUGAUACUAGAUACAUUCAUUUGAGGGACAAGCUUUUUCAGAUAGAGGGAGUACAAA
Non-coding RNA from Triticum aestivum (bread wheat), 126 nucleotides. The record is from Rfam. NCBI's taxonomy places the organism in Eukaryota, Viridiplantae, Streptophyta, Magnoliopsida, Poales, Poaceae.